GCACUAACGGUUUCCUCUCUUAACGGAAGGAAUCAAAAGGGAAUUCGGUGAGAAUCCGAAACAGUGCUCGCUGCUGUGAGUUUUGCCCUCGGCCCUCGGCCGACGGAGGGUGUUGCUCGAUGCCACUGAUGCCGCAAGGUGUUGGGAAGGCGCAAUGCCAAUGAACAAGUCAGAAGACCUGCCGUUGAAGU
Molecule: non-coding RNA, 191 nt
Filed under: uncultured Alistipes sp.
Lineage: Bacteria; Pseudomonadati; Bacteroidota; Bacteroidia; Bacteroidales; Rikenellaceae
Source: RNAcentral